GAAAAUAGUUAUUGGAGAUGCUUGGUAGAAUAGGAGUUGAGAAUUGACAAUAGAAGUCUCGUCACAACAUGGCUGGUAGUUCCAAGAAAGAUUUGGUGAGUUCACAUUUCCAGUGAACCAAAUGAUGAUUCAAAAGUUAGGUUCCUUCAUGAUUAUUUCAUAAACAUCAUCCGCAAUAAGAGAAGCCUUUAGUCCAGACCUCUUAUCAACAUGGUUAUACAUUAUUUUGAUCGUUUCUGAAAACGACUUCUUUGUAUUCUUAUGCAGAUUCGAAACUGCAAUUCUCGCAGCCAGCAGAGCAUAAUCAGGAUGGUUGGCAGUCAUAGAAGCGGCUGUCUCAGCGGCUAACUGGUCGAGCUGGGUGGUGGUUACACCCUUGUAUAUUCCAGCACAAACCUUCUGGGCGACGAGCACGGGGUCACAGUGUUUACUACUCAACCCAUAACUCAGUUUAUUCAACCGAGCCGUGAUCUUGUCGAAAUGGACUGGUUCUUGGCGCCCAUCUCGCUUUAUCACGUACAUGGUCUGAUUGAGAAGUAAGUUUUGGAAUUUGGAAACAACUUGAAAGGUUAAUGAGGAUUUUUAUCGAACAGGUAAUGGGAGGUUUGUGAUUUGUGUUUAUAUAGAGAGACAGAAGCAAGAAGAGUGCUAUAGAAGCCACGGCAAGCGAAAGGGUUUGAAUUUAAAUGAAUUUUGAUAUAUUUUAAGUAAAUUUCUUGUCGUUUUGUCAGUUUCUUCCAUAUUUUAACUUUCCCGCCUAUUUGUUGAUACGUGGAGGUUGGAAAUUGGAGCGCCUUCCCUGCUCGCUGCUCGGUGGUGACUGUACUACACCGCGUUUGGAUAAUUGAAGGAAGAU
This 856-nucleotide unclassified non-coding RNA is filed under the name Hevea brasiliensis (rubber tree). The record is from RNAcentral. Lineage: Eukaryota; Viridiplantae; Streptophyta; Magnoliopsida; Malpighiales; Euphorbiaceae.